UCUUCACUCUUUAGUUCAACUUAACACACUCAUCUUUUUUUCUUUCAGAGUUGAAUGUGCAGCUACAAGAUAAUACGAAACAGUUCUACCAAACAGUGAAAAAGGAUGACACGAAGAACUUUUGCUUGUUCAUUGAGGGUAAAGCUCCUAUCUUUUGAAAGGCUAAUGAUGAUCACAGCAAGCAGAACCUGCAUUUUGUAUAAUAUAUGAAGGAUAAUAUUUGGUACUCCAGCAGCAUGAUGUAAUAUUGAUUCAACACACUCUCUGCAAACCUUGUGAGUCAUAGUUCUUGAAGACUUUUUAAUCCCUUGCUGGAUUGCAGCAUCACUUCUUAGUUGGUCAUACAUCAAAUGUGAGACUACACAGAGAAGCCUACAAGCUUAUGGCGUAUUUCCUAGUCUACUUGGCUGUGCUGGGGAGAAAGCUCAUAGAGUAAAACGCAGCAGAGAGCUGUCAAUCCGUUUAUAAGGCAGAUCUCACCGGUGCAACUUAAGAGUACUUCUUAGCUGGUAACCAGAUUCAUGUCCGGAUACAUCUUGACUCCAUACUGGGAUGAGACCUAGGUAAGUGACAUUUGUCCUCCAUCCUCUUGUCUUUUUGUGUCCACUCCAAUUUCUACUGGCAAGGAAGUAGUUCCCCAGCAAAUCUGUAAUUGUUUGCUUUAAACCACCGGGCUGCCUGGGACUGACUGACUCUCCAGGACAUACUUGCCCUGGGGCUUAGACAAAAGCAUAGGUACCAAGAGACCUAUAGAGCAACAAUUGGAGCUGUAAGCACAUUUGACAUUUUACUUGUCCUGUGUGCAUGUGAAAUGCCCACCAAGUUCCUAGCCUGGAGGGCUCAGAGAAUAUGCUCUGUGUUCAGAAACAUGCUGGGUCUUGAAAGCAAAACAAAACUGCAUCCCUGUUUGCAGUUCAUGAGAAACUUGAAAAUAUUGGAGUUGGUAGGAAAUUUAGCCCAUAACUACAUAAAGACACUCCAUGCACCACAAAUCCUGCUUUCCCCCCAGCUAUAUCUACUCUUUUUGUCUCCUGAACAGCAUACCAAACAUGAUUAGUGAAGCUGUAUUAGCAGAUCAGGACAGGAUAGUUUUGGCCAGUUGCUGGUAGGUGAUGAAAUGCUGGUUGUGAGGAGUGCUGCUACAAACUACAGGAAAUUAACUUUCCCAGUCUUUUUCCCUCUGAAGGAGGAGAAAAAGUAUUUAAAGACUAGCCAAUGCCAGAAAUUAAAGUAAGAGCAAUCAUGAUUAGAGAAGGCAUGAUUAAUAAUAUAAUUGCACCACACUAACAAUAAUAAUUAUAAUUACUUUUAUUUACAUAAAUUUAAUUGCAGCAGUUAGUCCAGAUUUACUGUUAUGAACACUCAGUGAUUUGUGGCUUGUGAGGUGAAAGAUGAUUCAAGUAGAGCUUUCCCCUUGCACUGUGAGUAGUGACUUCAUUUUUAAGGCUAAGAAAUGUUGUACUUUUGUACUUUAAAUAACAACAAUCAGUUUCUUUAAGAAAGACAGCCAAGGAUGGGAGCUGAUGGAAGGCACUAGCUCGUCUGGGCACUAUUUGGUAUUCACUGAGAGCAAAGGAGAUAGAAACCUGCUCAGCUGAUCAUCUGAAGUCUCACUGGAUGCUGCAUCAACAGAAGUCUUCACAUUAUGUGGCUCCCAGGACUGACAGGCUCAGCUCAGAGUCUGCAAGAUAAAUAUUUCGAUCAGCUUGGAGUAAUCUCUGAAUGGAGUCGUUGGAGAACACAGUACAGAGAUAUCCAAGUUCCCUGGGUCUGCAACAGCAUGUGUCCAGAAGGAGGCUGGCUGUAUUUGUGUGAUAACAUGGAAGUGGGAUCUAGAUGAAGCGUAUCAAAGCAAACAGAACGUAUCAAGCACAAUUGUGAUUUUACCCCUAGUAAAUAUUCCUUUUCCAAACUUCCAAGAUUCCUGAAGUCCUGAGCUGCUGGAGAACAGAUUGGGAGGGGUGAGUAAGAGCGCAUUACUUAAUUGACUUAAUUGACUGCUUGAAGUCAAUUUGGAAGAACUUGAAGCCUUAAUAGUUAGCACUACUCCUUGUAGCUCUUAACAAGAUUGCUUCACUGCAAUAAUUUGUUGAUUUUGUUUCUUCUGGGGCAUACUGCAAAAUGUUAGAUGGCAAAGAAAUCCCAACGUACUUGUCUUCUGACCAUCUGCAUAGCUGGAUUUGCUUUGAAUGGGAUCUGCCUGUGGGGCUCUGCUAAGCCUUUUCUUUGGCUUCCUCUUGGUUAGCACCCAGUGCAUUACUUCCAAAGUGCAGAGGUGGGUGCUGGGCAGCCCUUCAUGGCAUAAUGCCACCAUGGUGCCCGUCCAGCAGGGACAGCUUGCUGUUCGUGCUAGGGCUGUACCGGGAGGAAGGAGAUGACCUACGGCCCUGAGCUCCUGCUGGUUUUAAAAUGUCACUCCCAGCACCGGUAUCAAAGCCAUAUGCUGCUUCUUACUUUCCAAUGGAUUUCAAAAGGGCAUAUGAAUGGUUGUGCUCAUUACCAUGGCUCACAGUGUAUCUUUUUUUUUUUUUUUUUUUUUAGUUAAGGGAAAUGCAGCUGAAAUAUAUACACCAUAAAUAAAGCUGUGGAUGAGUUUAAACAAUGUUUGGGAUUCCUUACAUUUAAGUGUUUUCUUGACUACAUCUGGUUCCAGAAUAAAACGAGAGCAGAGUACAGCAGCGGUACCAGGAUGAGUUUUCAUACCAUUAGCUGGGGGUCAGUACGCUGUGUGAGGUGGGAAGAGAACCAGAGGCUAAUCUCACGUUUGCUGCAAAGAAUAGGCAGGAACAUACAAAUUGUGAUGGAAAUAGGUAUAAAAUAUCCAUUAUCCAUGUUUUUUCCCUGAGUCCAGUGAGUAGCUUAUGUCCUGAGGUAUGUUUUAUGAAUGUGUAAAUCUAAUUAACUAUGUGUGUCAAAUAUCCUUUUAAAUAGGUGAAUUCUCGGCUUCAGCUAUAUUUUUGGCAAGACUUUCAGUGGCUGAUAUAUAGGUAUUUUCUUUCCGUUGCUUCUUAAACUUGCCUUUUGGGUUCACUCUUUUGUAUGCUGAAGGUACAGUUAAUAGGCUUUUCAAUUUUAUUCCUUCUGUAUCUUUACACAUAUUCCAGUGUUAUCCUUUCUUACAUGGCUUUCUGAUCUUAACCUCCCUGGUCUUACACGCUUACCCCAUAGUGCAAAACAUGGAAAAGAACAACAAAUUUGAAGAUUGGGUAGGUGGAAGCAGUUUAAAGCAUGUUAUCUAAAGAGGAAACAACUAAAUCUUUAGAAAUAGCAAUGUGUUUUCACCUUUGUCCUCCAUCAGUUUCUUACUUCAAUACAGAUGUCUGUGGCUGCUUUAGCAACCGUUGCAGAUUCGGCAGAAUUUCUCAUUGAACUAAUCAAAGUGAUUGCUAGGUGCUUCUUCCAAGUUUCUCAUCCAGGCUCCUGCAGAAUAUAUGUUUUAUUUCAACUGGAAAGAAAAAUGUACCUGACACAAGAAUGUGAACUCAAGCUGGCAUCUCAUCGCCCUGUGACUUCAGCCCUCCUGAAGCUUGUCACAAUUUUUUUUUUUUUCCUAGGCUUACUGCAAGGUUUGCUUUAUCAACACAUCACAUCUCAGUGGUGCUCAGAUAUUAUCUGAGCUGAUUGGAGCUCUGGAAUCAGUAUUUGCAGGCUGCCCCAAGCGGUCUUAAUUAACCCUACCCAUGUUUAAUGUAGGUUGAAUGUUACAUAUAACGUAUUUGGUUUCUGAGCUGGGACCUGGACUGGCAAGGGAGCGUCUGUAGCACGGUUUUGCACUCUAGGCAUGCAUUGCAAGCACUCUGAAGAAGAGUUGUAACUGAAGGAGCUCUCCAGCACGGCACAAAUCUGAAAAGAAGCUGAAGGUACGCUGUGACGCCAAGUAGGAAGUUGGCUAUUAGCAGGAAUGCUAUUGAUCAAAAACAAUUUGCCAAAACUUAAAAAGAAUUUUGGGUGGAUAUAUUACAGCAGAAGUCAGAUUCUGGAUGAAUGCUAAGACUAACAAAGCAUGUAUCAGCUAAAAUGUUAAUUACAAAUUAUGCUUUCACAUCCAGUGUUGGGACUGACAAGUGCAGUUUUAUUUGCUGAGUUGAACCUUCUCCAUUUCUUUAUAAUGUGUUUUCUGGGCCUCAGUUUAGAGACCUUAACACUGGGAGGACUUCUUGUAUCAUCCAUCCUCUUUCUCCCCAUACCCCGCUGCUGACUACUGGAGCACUGACUCCCCAGCUUCUUAGUAAAUUUAAAAUAAAUGAACAAAACAAAACAAACAAACCAAAACCAAAAACAAACAAACAAAAGUAAAACACCAAAGGAACUGCCUGAAUCUUUUAUAAGUUUAAUGAUAAAAUAAUUAAAAUGGCCUUCAACAGCACAGAUGACAAUGAUGAGACAUGUCUCUGCCAGUUUUACUACCAUGUAGUUGCCUGAAUAUGGGGAAGAGAAAGCAGAGGGUGUUUCUGACAAUAUGAUUAAUUACAAAAUGAUUUGCUAGCAGAGCUACUGAUUUUGCUUUGUUAAAUCCCACUCGGCGGUGAGUACAAUGAGAAGCCAUUCCAUUUAAUGCAAGGUACUGAUUUAAAGCCUGCCAUCCUUAGGUUGUGGAUAUCUGAAAAAAAAACAAUUCCAUUCCUGUUGGACCUCUAGGCUACCGUGUCCUAGAGUAACUUAAUGAAAAUGCAGUUUAGAAAUUAAGAACAAGCGGUGUAGGUUAAUGUAAUGUUUCUUUGUCUGCCCAAAGAGAUUAUCGCAAGGCUGAGUUGUUAGGACGUGUUAAUCAUUGGCAACAGUGGUUCCAAAAUAAAUGGCUUUUAAGGCUCAUUUAUUUAAAUAUCUUAAAGCAUCUGAAGAGUGUUCCCCCCAUUAUUUGCUUCCCCUGCUGCUACUAAUAAAUGUCUUCUGUUUGCUAGAUGCCUUUCACAGUGAAGUUAGUCUCCAGGAGGCUUGCAGUGGUUACGGGUAACAUGAAUUCACCCAUCCCUGCAAUGCAGCCAGCUGUAGAGCUGAAAAAGCACCACACAUUUCGGCAACAAGUAAACAUUUUCAGAUAAAAUAGCCAAAAAGGGAACUUUUAGGGCACCUUGCUCAAGCUCUCUUGUAUUCUCUGUCCUGGCCAAGACAGCAGCAUGUGCUGUAAUGCUGUCUUACGCCUUAGCCUUGGAAAUGCACGCUUUAUGUUAGCAGCUUUGUGCUUUUUGAAGUUAGGUGAAAACUGCUAAUUGCCUAGGAAGACCUGAGAAGGCUGGAUGGCUGAACGAGCACAGGUUUUAUGAUGCAGCACCGAGCUUCUAGGUGUCGCGUCCCUAAUUCCUUUCAAAUGGGUUUUUGAUCCUCCAGAGUUCGGUGCCCCAGAACAGGGCUGAGUUGCUGCUCUGUGGCCAAACCACCUGAGGGAUGCAUUGGACAGCCCUGUCCUCUGGGCUCCAAGUCCCAUGAGUAGAUUUGGAGUGAAUCUCAGAGCUUAACGCCCUCAUCCCCUGCAGGAGCUCUGAUCACAAGGACAAAAUCUUCCUGGGUGGUACAUGCAUAUGCCUGCGGCAGGGUGGUGACACCACCGGAGAAGUGCAGUUGGUGGCUUACAACAGCAACACGUGAGUAGGGAGAGCAUCCCUCUGUUUCCUCCUCAUUUCUUUUAAAAUGAGAGUGAAGCCUGCGCUAUAGCCCUAGCAGGUAGUCACCACAUUUGAGACUGGCAUAUUUAUUUAAUGGCCUGUAUAAUUCAGAAGCCUGGUUUCACGUGUUCAGGGCUGAAAGCCUUCCCUUGAUACUUUUUUUUUUGUGCUUUGCAUAUCGUGUUGCUAUACAAUCUUUGGUGUUUGCUGCUGGUUAUCUAGCCGAGUUGUAACCCAGCCCGUCUGCUCCACUGAGACACGGUGAUUCAUAAGCAACCCGUACCUACCCGAAAACCAAAUAGAUUAAAAUGGCAGUUUCAAUCUGCAGCAGCAACGGGGGUUGUUACAGUCUGGUUGCUGGAGAAUUUACUGCAGCCUGCGCCACUGCAAUCAGCUGAGCACAUCAGCUGAUAAGAGAUUGUGGGUUUCGUCCUGAAGAGAUGGUGAACUGUCAAAUAAUGAAGAUAAAGUGAGGGAAUUAUGCUGUUCCUGCUACUGUGCUCUGUGUCCGUGCCACAUUGCGUCUUCCUUUUGCUAUUGCAUAUAUCAUGUCAUGCUGGUAACACCCAGGUUCAUCAAGUGGGCUUCUGAGAGCCUGAAAUACUGCUUGCAGAAAUGUUUGUAUAGCUCGCCUCUGGGCCAUGCUGAGCUCUUUGCUUUGUGAGGCAAAACUGUAGCCUGGUGGCUUGCCUUGAGCCCUGGGGGAAGAGGGACAAAUGCUUCUGGAAAAAUGUGAGGAAAAAAGAGUGGGUUGGGAUGUGCCUGAGUGCCCUAGUUCUGAUGGUGCCUGUAGGAGGUGACUGCUUUGUCUCCUAAAACUUUGUUGUAUGGAAUUGCUUCUGUAAUGAUCCUUUAUUAUGAUGUGGAGUGCGUGGUGAGGGGAAUGUCCAGGCCUCCUCCUUUUUAGUAAGAUGUUUUUUUUUUCUUUCCGAAUAGAGGGAGAGGCGGAUAAAUCUGUUCCAGAUGGGAGAAGAGCCGGACAGUGUGACACAUGAGGCAAUGCUCAACUCAUGUCUCUCAUCCCCAUCUGAUCGAGCAUGGUGGUGUCAGCUCUCCCACUCGAGGACCCAGCAGCAACCAACAGCGUCUCCAGGUUUGGUGGGCAGGAGAAAAUAAGGAAUGAUGUGACAGUGCUCAAGUGGCACAGAAAUGAUUGGAACAGAAGAAUGUUGCCUCCUCCUUCUUCCCUUUUGUUCUACUCCUACCCCAGGCAUCUAAUGCUGAAAAAGAAAAAUACUGAAGUUGUUUUACCACAAGAGGUGAGUUAUGCUGGUGUACUUUAGCCUUGUUUUAAUAAAUUGAGGCAAGUUAAGGUAUGGUGUAACGGCGAGGUAAAAGCUGUUUGAUGGAUCAAGGAGAGAAGGACCCUCUGCAGAGCUGAGGUGGAAGUUUCUUUGGUCUCACCACUUUUUGGUCAGCCUUGCUUACCACAGCUCUGGUACCACAGAUUGACCGAAUCCACCUUAAAAUCUAAGAUUAACAUAGGUUGGUGGCUGUAUUGGCUGUGAUGGGCUUUUUGAGGGCACACUUUGACAAAGGCAGACAAAGGCUCCCCCCUUGCCCAACCAUUUCUCAUUCUCCAUCUCCUUCCACCAGAGCAGGGUGUGUCUCCACACUGCCUUCAUGUGCUGUGACCACAACAGCCAAUGUGGGCUCCAUUUUGCAGCUAGCCAGCUUCUGAUAUUUGCUUCUAUGGUUAAAUGCAGGUGGGGAACAAAGCAAAACAAAACCCAGCCACAUUUGUGUUUUUUUUUUCGCCUUUUGGCUUUUUCUUUUUCCUCUUCUUUGUGUAUCACCAGGUAGGUGAUCUGUGUAGAUGGCAACAAUAACUUUUUUUACUGUAAAAGUUCUCCAUGCAUGGUUUUAUCUGUUCAGACAAUUAAUGUGCAUUAGAUAUAUGAGCAUGUUUCUUAUUUAACAUGCAUCUGCAAACAACUGCAGCUCAUAUAUGCAUUUUUUACUUUUUAAUUCUGGUGCAUUCUUCCAGUGGUUUUGCGGCCUGUGUCCAACACCUGCUGGCCAUGUGCUACAGGGUCUUUGCAGAGGUGAGCACUGAGACCUGGGUGCUCUGCUCCUGGGUUUUGUUGUCUGUAAGAAGAGGCUCAUCCAAGCUUUGUCACCACUGUUGAGAGCUGGCAGCGAUGCUGGAUCAGCCCUUCCACUUGCUUGUCCUAGCAGUCCAGCCCAAGUUACUACAGCCUGAUGUGCCUAGGGUGGAGCAAGAUGGAGCACAUUCCCCCACCUCGCUUCUGGCUGGCUUGGGGCCUGCUUCUGCAGCGAUUCACUGCAGGGUCGCUUCCGUGAUGCUGAAGCUUGUCAGGCCCAAUGCCGGUCACCGUGAAUGAAGGGGAUGAGCAGUCGGUCUGCAUGGUCCUGCCUCCCUGCAUUAACACCCCCUCGAGGACUGUCAGGCAUCCAGCAUGGGCAUACUGCACCCUCAAGGACGACCAGCUACGUCUGAACCAUGAGUUGCCUCAGCAAAAAGUGGAAAAUAUUUGAGCAUUGACAAUUCCGUGAAACCUCCGCUGUAACGAGGCUCAUCCAGGCAGAACCGUCCAUGUCCCCUUUGAGCAAAAGGGAAUUCCCUGGCUGUAUUCCCAACUGGAGCUGAAGCUAGGCUUGGAACAGGAACCUACCUCUCAUACCUGCUGUACUUGGUGCACCUGGGCACGUGAGUGAAGCAGCAAAAACUGAGAACGUGAGUUGCUUUGUUAUGGGUUAGCCUAAACCACGCUGGGUUGAAGAUUGUGGAGUAUCGUGUACCACAUGUCAUAAAUCUAAAUUCUUGUACAUAGAACACUCUUUUUUUUUCUUUUUUUUUCUCCCCCUCCUUAGAGGGAAAUUACAGUCUGGGGGAGUUGAUGGCUUCUAGUUUGGAUCAGGUACAGCUGCUAAAUUGUUACAGACACAAACACGCACACACCCUUAGUAAGCCUGAAACAUUUCCUUGAUGUAAGUUUCUGUGGUCUGUUUUUUGAAAGUUCUAGUUUUGUUAGUUUACUACUGACCCGAAAUCUCAGCAUUUUCAUGGUGCCCUCUUACAGAGGCAAACGAGUCGCUGAGCCACUUCCUCUCACCUGGCAGCCCAGAGAGGAGCUGGAUCUGGCCUGGAGGUCCGUGAGGACUGACCCUGGAAAGGUCCCGUCAUCUCCUUCACUACAGAAGCAAACUCCAGAGUUGGCCCAGGUGUGUGAUGCCAAGACACUGGAAAUGUGAUGGGCGCAGUGUUACUUGCUGGAGGCUGAGCUUCUCUGGGGUGCACACCACUUGGAGACGUGGGGAUUGCCAAACAGAGGAAAGCUGGAGAUUUGCACUUUUCAGUAUCCCUAUCAGGGCCUAAAUUCAUCUAAAGGAAUGGAAGCUGAAGAAGAAAUUAAACUGACUUUGGGAGCUACUCAGUCCAGACUAUUCUUGCAGAGAUGAACAAACCGAAGAAAUUCAGUGCUUAUUCAGGGUGAGUCGCCUGUUAUGUGUUUUCCUUCAAAUGUGAAUACAGCACACAUCCCCGGGAGCAGAGGAGUAAUAGAGCAGCCACAAAAAUAGUCACAGGCGUCUACAAAUGUGGAUAUCAGAAUCUGUAAGAAGAAGUUCUGUUGGAGGUUGCUUUUAUGGCAGGGAAUGGCCUGACUGCACAGUGCCUUACGGGAGCGGGUCUGUACUGAGCAGUCCACAGCAGCAGGCGGUGAAGUUGUUCUUCUGGAUACGAAGGCCACUCUCAGUGACAGACAGACACCAGUAAUGACCAAGCCGGGACAAGCACAAGCCCAUGCAACUAGAGUUCCACUUUUUGCUUAAGGGCAAGGAAUCAGUUACCACGGAGCACGCUGAAGUCUAACCAUGUUUGGAUGCUCGUCCUGCCCUUGUGGGACCCUAUAGCAGCAGGAUGCAGCCACCAUGCUGUGAGAGCCUUUUGGCUGUCUUGGUUCGGUAACCUGCCUGCCACAGGAGACCUGUGAGGACUUCAAAUGCUGAGACAUAGAUCAUCAGUUCAGCUGUUUCCGUCCCGUUAUCCUCUCUCGUCUUUCUUGUCUCACGGUAUUUCACGGUUGGAAAAGUGGCUUUCCAAGUCAUGUAUGUGCCUAACUUACAGAUAAAAUUUCCCAUAGGCAGUAGACUACUUCUAGUUCAGCACUACAGCGGUUUCAGGGAAGGUGCCAAGAGAAACCUUGCAUGCCUGAAAAAAAUGUAAGUUGUUCACAUUUGAAAAUGGAGCUUUGGUCCCCAAAUCAUUUAUGU
Anas platyrhynchos (mallard) is the source of this 9839-nucleotide non-coding RNA. Lineage: Eukaryota; Metazoa; Chordata; Aves; Anseriformes; Anatidae. The record is from RefSeq and is a predicted model, not a curated record.